Equus caballus (horse) is the source of this 5151-nucleotide non-coding RNA. The record is from RefSeq and is a predicted model, not a curated record. Lineage: Eukaryota; Metazoa; Chordata; Mammalia; Perissodactyla; Equidae.
UAGCAUGUGUCAGUAUUUCCUUCUUUUUAAAAACUUUUAAGUCUUUGUAUUUUUGAUUAUUUGUUUCCUUUAGCCUACAUAUAUGUUCAAUGAUUCCAUCUUAUAAUAAUAAAAAUAACAAAAAUCUUCAUGGCUCCCUCUCUUUCUCAGAUAAACCCUCAAACUUCUGUUUUUCUUCUUUUUAAUCAUUAUCAUAAAAAAGCCCUACCUACCUCAAGUACUCAAUUCUGUACUCUUUGGGAUCUGGUUUCCAUCUCACCACUCUUCUAAAACUAUUAUUUCCUUGAAGAGUGUUAGAAUCUCCCUGAAUUAAAAAAGAAAUUUUUUAAAAUAAAGUCUUCGAUAGCAUAAUGUGCUUAUGGGAAAUCUACUUUAAUUUCUUGGUUUAUGUUUUCUUCCAGACUGAGUUCUUUGCUCAUCUUUUGCAUGCUGUCUUCUUUCACUUCUCAUUUUCCUUUAGUUUAGUGUUGUCUGGUUUUGUUUCCAGCCACAGAACAUCUGUAGAGCAGACAGAAAUCACCCAUGCUUUAGACAGCUCUGCUCAGAUGGCCAAUUGCCCUUCUAUGCUGCAAUGGAUUCUACUUGACAUGUUCUCCACCCCAUUCUGAGACUAGUUCAUUUUGCCUUUCCAGUUUUAAGGCUGGAUAUUGCUUUUAGAUCGCUGUUCUGUAACCUGGUGGUAUGAGGAGGGUAGUGGUCGAGCCAAGCUGGGGCCGAGCCAGCCCAGCGGGCGUGAGCUCUAAAAGGGUUCCGAGACUGUCAAAUGUAACAGGGCCCACUUGACCUAGAAAGCGAUACAUCUAACUCCCGUGAGGUUUGGCUCAUCUCCCCAGCUCAACCUAAUGUCUUGGAGGGUGUGGAGUCCUUGUAAUCUUUUUAGCAUCUUUCAAGGGCCCCAAGGGAGAGAAGGGCUUCUAAUCUGGAAGAAUUCUACAAUUUUUCCCAGGGAUGCCAAUCCAUGACCUUAGUCCACUUCUCUGUGAACCAGAAGGGUUUAGUGAGAAGGCUCAAGAUGUUGUUGGCUCAGUCAGUCAUCUUAUUUCUUCAGUAGUGCUUUUGGGGAAGAGAAAGCAGUCAGGAGCCACACCAGACUGUACCACUCCAGAAUCAUUUGGUCCUUCCCUUGAUGCUUCUUUUUCAAAGUGUAUGACAUCAAGCUCUUCCUUUUUUCUUGUUUAAUUGAGGCAGGUAAGUUUUUACUGUUUCCUUUGUUUUAUUGUUUCCUGGGCUUUUGUGUUCGUUUUCAAUAUUUUGUUCAUUGCUUUAACUACUGGGGAGAGAUUCUACGAGUUGGCUUUGUUCCGCCUUCUGUGCCUGGAAGUCCAAUAGCCUUGUCCUCAUGACUAGAUGUAAUGAUCUUUUCUUGGUACUCAUUCCUCUCCACCUUUUAAGCAUCUUAAUACCAUUGACUAUGCCCUUAUCGGACCCGGGUCACAUGAGGAUGCUCCUCCUUGGCUCUAGGAUCUCUUUCUUUCUGACUCCUUCUCACAAAGAUGAAGCUGUUGGUCUACUUCACAGUUCUUCAUGCUAGAUGCACAUUAGAGUCACCAAGGGAGCAUUUUAGAAGUACUUUACCCCCAGGAAUUCUAGUUUAUUUAGCUUGAGGUUGAGCCAGCAUUUAAAAAAUCUCUCCAGGGGAUUUAAUGAGUGGCAGGAAUUAAGAGCCAGAGGUCUCUGUGUAGUGACAGCCCCUCGCAGCUCCCAUGCUGGAAAGCUGUCUUCCUCUAUAAGGAAGGCAGGUGGUACUUACCAGAAAUCCCCUGAAAGUGCAAGUAGUUAAUCUUAGCAAGAGAGAGGAUUCCAUGAGCAAAACCCCCCACAAAAUAUAGAGAAGACGUAAGAACAGCAGAGGAAGAGGAGCUCAAAACAGUAUGCUGAUUCUGUUUCGUGAGUUGAGAAUGGGACCUGGAAGUUAUAUUUUUUAAAAGCCACAUAGAUAAUUUUGGGAAUCCAUGAGAUUUGAGAACUGGUGCUCCAGACAUCCUUUGCUUGUUUCCUGCCAAACAUGAAGUUUUGGAAAGGUCUUUCUGAUGCAUCCUGUCUUGCCCAAACUCAUGCCCCUGGCCUUUUUUUUUUUCCCCCGCAUGGAUGAGCUAUUUGGAAGAACCCACAGAGUUUCAAUUUGUCCUUACCCCCACUCCAUCUUCCACGCUGUUACUAGAACAGAGGUCCUCAAACUUGAAUGUGCAUCGGAAUUAGCUGGGCACCUUAUACAAUACAGAUUGCCAAGCUCCAUGAUGAGAAUUUCUGACUCUAAAGUCUGGGGUUGAAGCCAUAGUCUGGAUUUCUAUCAAGAUUCCAGGGGAGGCUGCAGUUGCUGGUCUGGGGCCAUACCUCAAGAAGCACUGUACCAGCUAGAGUGAUUGUCCUAAAUCAGAUUGGGGCAUUUGUCCCUUGCCUAAAACCCUCUCAUGUUUACAGUAUAAAACCCAAGCAUUGAGCAUGGGCACAGUCACUUCAGCUUUUCCAGUGACAUCUCCCUCCACUGCAUCUCUGGUUCAGGCACACUAAACAUUUCCCUGUUCUACUGCCAUGGCCUGUUCUUUCACACUCUCUGUCUUUGCAUAUACAGUCUCUCCCUGGAGUCUUUCUCCUCUUUCUAUAUUGGGCAGACUCCUACUCAUCAGGAAAGAUUCUGCUUAAAUGUCACUUUCUCCAUGAAACCAUCACCGAAUCCUUCAGAAAUAGAGUUUCUCUCUCUUCUCCUCUGUGCUCAAAUUUGAAGUGCAUCACAUUGCAUUUUGACGAUCUGUUUGCAUAUCUUUCUAACGAUUCUGAGCCUCUGUUAAAUUUUACUCUCUUUAUCGCUAUAUUCUCUGUUUCUCUAAAACCUAGCACAAUGUCUAGCACAAAAUACGCGGUAAAUUGACACAUUGCAUGAAAGACUGGAUAGUCAAGGGCAAACUAUAUAAGCAAAGAGUUGGUUGGUUUUUUCCAUAAAGCAUAAAAGUAUUUAAAGUGAAAAGACAAAAUUAUUCUUUAGAUGGGGGUUGGGCAUAUCAGAUAGCUGGAUCGGAAAACUGUUUUCAAGGCUAGACAGUAUGGAAAAUAUGCAGAUUUCCAAAGAGAAUUCCUAGGCCACUGUACUCUCUCCAUAGGAAUUAAUGCUACUGUCCUCAUUCCUUACCCCACCCUCCCAAAAAGGCCUUAGCAUUUUAAUCUCAUUGGCACGAAAGAGAGUUUGGAUGUGGCUCGCUUUUCUGAGCAAAUAAACUGCAAUUAUUUUACCUGACAAAAAGUCAGAGAAAUGACUCAAUAACACCCUUCUCAUUUGAAAUAUAGGACACAUUGUAAUUUGGAAGCUAGAGACCCAAAGUCCUUCCUUUUUAUUAAGAUUAAUGAACGUAUCUUAGGGCUUAAAGAUACUUAAGUGGCCACAGGAGAAAUUUAGUGUGGUUCAAAAAAAUAAAUUAUAGUCAUCCAUUCUCAAGUUUCUAAAAUAUUGGCUAGGCUGAAGAAACCCUAAAUUUGUAGAUGAUUCUAAGGGUGAGGACGUUUUUCUGUCACUGGCUGGUAUUUUAUAAAGUGUCAUUUGUGUUCAGCCUUGGAGAAUUUACUCCAUUAGAAGUUGGACAUUCAGAUAAAAGCUGGAUCAAGGAAAGAAAGUUGUUGGCAGAGUGUAUGUUGGUAAAUGAUUUACUAAAGCCUGUGAGUUGGUUUGUUCUGAGUUUUAAUCUUCUUUUCAAUAAAACCUUGACCAAGGACUUGGAGAUCUGCCUAGGCUUGUAUUUCAGAGGGUCAAAGUGCUAUAUGUCACCAGCAGUAGGAGAGAUUUGUGUACUGAGAUAUAUUCUGGAAUUCAACCAUCAAUUCAACGCAGCGUGAUCAUUCAUUUAUUUACUCAUUCUACAAGUUCGUGUCGAGAGCCAGUUGUGUGCCAGGUGCUCACACUGGUCUUGGGGACAGAGCAGUGAUCAAAACAGACACAAGUCUCUGCCCGCAUGGAUCUUACACUCUAGCUGGGAAGAGCCAGUAAACCAAUUGUGAGUGUGUGUGUGUGCGUGUGUGUUGGUGUGUAUAAAUCACUACGGAGAAAAACAAAGCUAGAAGCAGGCUAGAGAAUUAUGGGAGUGGUGAGACUGUGCUUUUAAACCAGGCGGUCAGGGGAGAGCUCACUGGCCUGGAGAAGGUGGAAGAGCGACUGUGUUGCUGUCUGGGGCAGGAGGCUCCCAGGCAGAGGGAACAAGAGGCACAAAGGCUCCGAGGUGGGACCACAUCUGACAUGCCUGAGGAGUAAUGAGGUCCUAGUGUGGCUGGGGCAGAAUGAGGGAGGGGAGAGUACUAGAAGAUGAAGCCCAGGGAAAUUUGGGGUGGUCAUUUAUGGCCUCGUAGGCCACUGUACCUAAUUAUUUUGGCUUUUACUUGGUAUGAAAUGAGAAGUCUUUGCAAUGUGGAUUAGAAAUGUGAUACGAUCUCUUUUAUGUUUUAACGGGGUCACUCUGGCUGCUGUCUUUGGAAUAGACAGGAGACAGGACAGAAGCGAGGGGGUGGAUUAAAAGGCUAUGACAACAAUCCAGAAAGUGGAAUGUAAUAUUUCAGCUUAACUCAAUAUCCAAGACCAUCUGCCAAGGACUUCACUUUCUUCCUCUGCUGGAGGAUGUCAGUCUUUCUAGCAACUGAUUUGCAGCCGGCAAUUGUUCACCUUGGGCUGAGGACUAAAGUCCAAACGAAUCUGUUGACCUCAGCUGCAGCUGCAUAGCUGAGAUUUCAGUGUGCUGCACAGAAACUGGGAUGGAAUGAAUUCAACUUCCUGAAGAGGAGAAGAGUCUGCAGGUGGAUCUGCAACACUGGUUGCAUCUGACCUUCAGGGUUCAUUUGCACUCCCAGUCCUGCACAGAGGGGCAGUGACCAAGAACAAAGAUGAUGGAAGUGGUGUGCUGGGAGAGGGAGCAUGGCACUUUCUGCCCUCCAAGGGGUUCAGGCUGCUUGGCGUUAACAGAGAAAUGUCCAAGUUAUUUUACUUAUCAACAUUUUUAAAACAGAAAUGGAAACCUGUGUUCUGAUUGUCUUUAAUUAUGGGAACCCCUAGAAACAUAAGAGGGACAUUAAACAAUGUUACAUCAUUAAAAAUUAUGCUGGAGGCCAGCCCGGUGGUGCAGCAGUUAAGUAAGCACGUUCCACUUCAGUGGCUCGGGGUUCGCUGGUUUGGAU